UGCAGGAUCUAUAGAUGUGUCCCUCUCUGA
This 30-nucleotide non-coding RNA is filed under the name Mus musculus (house mouse). Lineage: Eukaryota; Metazoa; Chordata; Mammalia; Rodentia; Muridae. The record is from RNAcentral.